CAGCAGGCUGCCACAAAAGGGCUGUGUUAGCAUCCAGCAUCUUGAUGACUGCAAGGCAGGCUUUAAAUAAGGGAAGAAAUCAAACAAGGACUUUACAUCUGUGGUUGUGCAAGUGCGUCACAUUGGUUAGAAUUUAAGAAUUUUUUUUAUAUCUGUAUACUCUCACUUAAUCAAGGAGUGACAUUUUUCUGGUGCAUUCAAGAUGUCUUUAUUACAAGUAUUCAUUAGGAUGGACCACACCACAAUUAGCUGAGAUUUGAAUUCAUACUCUGUGUAGUCGCUGGUAUGACAUAUUCUAAAGUGAAUGGGCGAAGAUGGGAAUUGCAUGUAGUUAUUUUGUGUUGAAUGCUAUGGUUUUGUGGAGUGCAUAUGAAGAAAUAAAGUUUCAUAAAUGACAAAUAAAUUUCAUGUUGAUAAAUUGUGGAACUGUGUUUGUUAUUUUUCUUUUUUGUGAGAUAAUAAUAAUACAAAAUUUGUAAAGCACAAGCUCACAGUCCUAAGAUAUCUUACCGCCUAAGAACAAGAGUGAAACCUGGACAGUGUACGAGGGACAGGAAAACAAACACAUUAAAAAAGUGAUGGUGCCAAUGUGUUACUGAGGUGGCACAUGAAACUUUGAACUUUAAAAGCAGUUGUGGCACACAGCUCUAUGCCGACUUCCUCUGUUUAGUGGAAUCAUAGCCGGCACCUAUGUUCAAGCAUCUGAUUGACCCGUCAAAUAUUUCAUUUAUACCUAAAAAUCAUGAAGAUCAUUGUUUCCCACUAGUUAGCUGUUUUUUUUAAUUGUCAUACUCCAUUAAAAGUCAUCAUGCUGUAAUAUUAAAGGACUUGUAGGCUGCAAUUUUCUGUGUAUGGUGAUGAUUUUUGCUGUAUUUUAAAAAUCAGAGAAGGAUAUGCAGAUUUCAGUAAAUAUUACCUUACAUUGAGCUUUACCACUCAUUACCAAACAGUAGUGCACCCUCCUUAAGCAGGUCCCAUUCUCGGAAAACAUUUUGGAUCAUGCACAUCAGAAGUUUAUUGCCUGGUCAAGAGUCAUAAUCAAACUUUUAAAAUGUUACUGACUAGCAUAGGUUUAAGUUUGAGUGCUGGUGAGUGAGAGUGCUUUAUUCCAAAAAUACUGAAAAAAGCAAAACUGAUGAAUGACCUCUUUGUUUAGUUGAUUUCAGUGUCUAAAGGAAACUCAUUAAUUGGAGCAUGGAAGUGGGAUAGCUUCUCCACACUCAUCACCACUUUCAAUACCACACAGGAAACACAGCAACAAAAUUGCCUAGGACGCUUACCACAGGGGGAAGAAAUAUGGUUUUAUCAAGCCAUUGCAAUCGUGACUAGUGGGAUUGACCUGAGAAAAGUUAAACAAAGGGUAUGAUCCCUUGAGGAUGUGAAAUCAAAUUCUUUCAGUGACUACAGCUCGCAUGCUUGCUGGCUGUGUGGUAUUCAAAGACAAAAUCUGCAUUGUUGGUGAAAACUCUGCAGUGAGUGAACGAUGGUACAAGGAAUAUUUAGCUGAGUACUGUGUGAGUUCAUUGGAAACAUUUGACCCGACAACAGAAACAUGGAUGGCUGGGCCAGAGCUGCCAAAUCCACUAUGUGGAGCAGCCUUUGAUGUGCCAGGAAUGUAUCCUGAAAUGGAGGCACACUUGCUAAUGUGUGUAUAUACAUGGUUAUUCAUUUAUAUGGUUUGGUCAAGUUUGGUGAAACCCUCACGAUUGUUGGUUGGGAGGACGAUAAAAGCUGGAUGGUUGGAAUGUGCUGGUUGCGAGAAGAUAAGGAUAGACUUACAUGGAGC
This 1786-nucleotide long non-coding RNA is filed under the name Pomacea canaliculata. Its description in RNAcentral is "uncharacterized LOC112555079, transcript variant X2". The record is from RNAcentral. Lineage: Eukaryota; Metazoa; Mollusca; Gastropoda; Architaenioglossa; Ampullariidae.